Molecule: unclassified non-coding RNA, 264 nt
Filed under: Hevea brasiliensis (rubber tree)
Lineage: Eukaryota; Viridiplantae; Streptophyta; Magnoliopsida; Malpighiales; Euphorbiaceae
Source: RNAcentral
GCCACCAGCUGGCACCAUAAACAGACACCAUACUUAAGUUGGACAAAUAUAUGAUAGCUAAAGCAAGAUUUUUUUUUUCUUUCACAUCAGUUCGUUGCAUAAGAAUUAUUUGCAGGUAUAGAAACAAUUUCCCAUCAGUAUUUAGUAGUGCUGGAUGAGAUUUCUAAAUAACAUCAUUUUGUUGGAAAACUAUUUGUGGUUGACAUCUAUACAUCUAUAUAUCUAUAUAAAUAUAAUAAAACAGGUCUCCAAAAUAUAUGUGGC